AUGGCACCUGGGUCAGCGCUCCAUACUCGUCCUGAGGUGCGUGUUAGUCGGCUGGUGAAGAUGGUGCCAGUCUCACGUACCAGGCCUCCUGUGCACCUCCCUAGCCUUGCACGUCCUGUGCCAGCACCGCUCUCAAGAUCUCCAGUACGCCUUCACGGUCUAACCCAUCCAGUACCACCUCCACACCCCAGCCCUCCGGUAGCAGCUCCCCGCACCAGGCUUCCUGUGCGUGUCCUCGGCCCAGUACCACCAGUGCCAGCACCACGCAUCAGGCCUACAGUGCGCCUCGCCUGUCCAGCGCUGUCGGAGCCCUCCUCCUCUCCAGCGCUGUCGGAGUCUCCCGCCUGUUUAGCGCUGUUAGAGCCUUCCUUCUCUACAGCGCUGCCGGAGUCUCCCGCCUGUUCAGAACUGCCAGUUAGCAUAGAGCUGCCAGUUAGCAUAGAGCUGCCAGUUAGCAUAGAGCUGCCAGUUAGCAUAGAGCUGCCAGUUAGCAUAGAGCUGCCAGUCUGCAUAGAGCUGCCAGUCUGCAAGGAGCUGCCAGUCUGCAUAGAGCUGCCAGUCUGCAAGGAGCUGCCAGUCUGCAAGGAGCCGCCAGAGCUGCCAGUCUGCAGGAUGCCGCCAAAGCUGCCAGUCUGCAAGGAGCCGCCAGAGCUGCCAGUCUGCAAGGAGCAGCCAGAGCUGCCAGUUAGCAUGGAGCAGCCAGGGCCGCCAGUCAGUAUGGAGCAGCCAGGGCCGCCAGUCAGUAUGGAGCAGCCAGGGCCGCCAGUCAGCAUGGAGCAGCCAGGGCCGCCAGUCAGCAUGGAGCAGCCAGUCAGCAUGGAGCAGCCAGAGCAGCCAGUCAGCAUGGAGCAGCCAGAGCAGCCAGUCAGCAUGGAGCAGCCAGAGCUGCCAGUCAGCAUGGAGCAGCCAGUCAGCAUGGAGCAGCCAGAGCUGCCAGUCAGCAUGGAGCAGCCAGAGCUGCCAGUCAUCAUGGAGCAGCCAGUCAGCAUGGAGCAGCCAGAGCUGCCAGUCGACCAGACUCUUCCAGAGCUGCCAGUCGACCAGACUCUUCCAGAGCUGCCAGUCGACCAGACUCUUCCAGAGCUGCCAGUCGACCAGACUCUUCCAGAGCUGCCAGUCGACCAGACUCUUCCAGAUCUGCCAGUCGACCAGACUCUUCCAGAUCUGCCAGUCGACCAGACUCUUCCAGAUCUGCCAGUCGACCAGACUCUUCCAGAUCUGCCAGUCGACCAGACUCUUCCAGAUCUGCCAGUCGACCAGACUCUUCCAGAUCUGCCAGUCAGCCAGGAUCUGCCAGUCAGCCAGGAUCUGCCGAAACCACCAGCCAGCCAGGAUCUGGUAGAUUCAUCAACCUGCCUGAGCUUCCCCUCACUCCUGAGCUUCCCCUCACUCCUGAGCUUCCCCUCACUCCUGAGCUUCCCCUCAGUCCCGAGCUGCCUCAGUCCCGAGCUGCCCCUCAGUCCCGAUCUGCUCCUCAGUCCAGUGGGGUUCUGGGUGAGGACUACUAGGCCAUGGUCGGCGGCGAGGGUGGACUAUCCAGGGACGCGAGGAGAAGGGACUAAGACAUUGAUUGAGUGGGGUCCACGUCCCGUGCCGGAGCCGCCACCAUGGACAGACGCCCACCCGGACCCUCCCUAUUGUUAUGAGGUGCGUUCGGGAGUCCGCACCUUAGGGGGGGGGGGUUCUGUCACACCCUGGUCAAAGUAUUUUGUGUUUAUCUUUAUUUAUUUGGUCAGGCCAGGGUGUGGCAUGGGUUUUUGUAUGUGGUGUGUAUGUAUGGGGAUUGUAGCUAGUGGGGUGUUCUAG
This 1806-nucleotide long non-coding RNA is filed under the name Oncorhynchus mykiss (rainbow trout). RNAcentral describes it as "lncRNA (ENSOMYG00000070265.1)". The record is from RNAcentral. Lineage: Eukaryota; Metazoa; Chordata; Actinopteri; Salmoniformes; Salmonidae.